Molecule: non-coding RNA, 131 nt
Organism: Brachypodium distachyon (stiff brome)
Lineage: Eukaryota; Viridiplantae; Streptophyta; Magnoliopsida; Poales; Poaceae
Source: Rfam
AGGCAAAUCUUUUGUCUCCGUUUUAAAAAGCGAUGGCAAUGGAGGUGUUGAGUUGCUCAAAAAUUAAAUCUUCUGCUUAGGGGAGGCUGUGCUUCCCUCCCUGAAGCUGAUCUAGUAGUCUUGAGGACAUA